Molecule: ribosomal RNA, 715 nt
Filed under: Flavobacterium sp. IsoA2
Lineage: Bacteria; Pseudomonadati; Bacteroidota; Flavobacteriia; Flavobacteriales; Flavobacteriaceae
Description: bacterial SSU rRNA
Rfam family: Bacterial small subunit ribosomal RNA
Source: RNAcentral
AUGAACGCUAGCGGCAGGCUUAACACAUGCAAGUCGAGGGGUAUAUGUCUUCGGAUAUAGAGACCGGCGCACGGGUGCGUAACGCGUAUGCAAUCUACCUUUUACAGAGGGAUAGCCCAGAGAAAUUUGGAUUAAUACCUCAUAGUAUAGCUCUACCGCAUGGUAGUACUAUUAAAGUCACAACGGUAAAAGAUGAGCAUGCGUCCCAUUAGCUAGUUGGUAAGGUAACGGCUUACCAAGGCAACGAUGGGUAGGGGUCCUGAGAGGGAGAUCCCCCACACUGGUACUGAGACACGGACCAGACUCCUACGGGAGGCAGCAGUGAGGAAUAUUGGACAAUGGGCGCAAGCCUGAUCCAGCCAUGCCGCGUGCAGGAUGACGGUCCUAUGGAUUGUAAACUGCUUUUGUACGAGAAGAAACACUGCUUCGUGAAGCAGCUUGACGGUAUCGUAAGAAUAAGGAUCGGCUAACUCCGUGCCAGCAGCCGCGGUAAUACGGAGGAUCCAAGCGUUAUCCGGAAUCAUUGGGUUUAAAGGGUCCGUAGGCGGUUUAGUAAGUCAGUGGUGAAAGCCCAUCGCUCAACGGUGGAACGGCCAUUGAUACUGCUGAACUUGAAUUAUUAGGAAGUAACUAGAAUAUGUAGUGUAGCGGUGAAAUGCUUAGAGAUUACAUGGAAUACAAAUUGCGAAGGCAGGUUACUACUAAUUGAUUGACG